AUACCGGGCCUUUUUGGGCUUGGUAAUUGGAAUGAGGGAGAGUUAAACGGACCAUCGAGUAUCCAUGGGAGGGCAAGUCUGGUGCCAGCAGCUGCGGUAAUGCCAGCUCCAAUAGCGUAUAUUAAAGUUGUUGCAGUUAAAAAGCUCGUAGUUGGACUUGUGUGCGCUGUCCGCGGGUGGCCUGCGCCCAAAAGGGCGUUUCGGUUCGGCCCCGGUGGCGCCUUGAAAUCUGCAGCUGGGGGGACGUUGGCCUUAACUGGUCGGCGACCGCACGCCGGCUGCUCGGUUACUGUGAGAAAAUUAGAGUGUUCAAGGCAGGCAUUGGGUGCAAUUGAAUACAUUAGCAUGGAAUAAUAAAAUAUGGCUCCUGCCGUAUUUUGUUGGUUUUGACUGGUGGGAGUAAUGAUUGAUAGGGACGGUUGGGGGUGCUAGUAUUGAGCGGCCAGAGGUGAAAUUCAUGGAUUCGCUCAAGACUAACUUAUGCGAAAGCAUUCACCAAGGACGUCCUCUUUAAUCAAGAACGAAAGUUGGGGGAUCGAAGACGAUCAGAUACCGUCGUAGUCUCAACCAUAAACUAUGUCGACUUGGGAUCGGCGGUAGUUUUUUCAUUAAGACACUGUCGGGACCACGGGAGAAAUCAAGGUGUCUGGACUCUGGGGGAAGUAUGGUCGCAAGGCUGAAACUUGAAGGAAUUGACGGAAGGGCACCACCAGGAGUGGAGCCUGCGGCUUAAUUUGACCCAACACGGGGAAACUUACCAGGUCCAGAGAUGUAGAGGAUUGACAGAUUGAAGCUCUUUCUUGAUCACUUCGGUGGUGGUGCAUGGCCGUUCUUAGUUGGUGGAGUGAUUUGUCUGGUUAAUUCCGUUAACGAACGAGACCUCAGCCUGCUAGUGUAGUCGGCUGGAUUGCCUUUGGCGAUCCGUGAUUUCGACUUCUUAGAGGGACAAUCGACGCGCAGUCGAUGGAAGUUUGAGGCAAUAACAGGUCUGUGAUGCCCUUAGAUGUUCUGGGCCGCACGCGCGCUACACUGCUGGGCUCAGCGAGUUUUACUUGGCCGAGAGGCCCGGUUAAUCUUGUGAAAUCCCAGCGUGCUUGGGCUCGCCUCCUGCAACUGGAGGCGCCAACGAGGAAUUCCUAGUAGACGCAGGUCAUCAACCUGCAUCGAUUACGUCCCUGCCCUUUGUACACACCGCCCGUCGUUCCAUAAGAGUGAGGCAUCCGGUGAAUUCUCGGGAGAGCCUGGGCGUGGCCAGCAAUGGUCUGCUCGGGUUUGAACUUGCAUAAACUUGGUGCCUAUGAUUAGGG
RNAcentral lists this ribosomal RNA (1307 nucleotides) under metagenome. Its description in RNAcentral is "SSU rRNA". It matches the Rfam family "Eukaryotic small subunit ribosomal RNA", at positions 483 to 1783 of the family's 1831-position model. The record is from RNAcentral.